GACCAUGUGGCAGAAAAGUGCAAUCGUUUUAGGCACGGGGCAUAGGGAUAAGAGUUCCCUCUUGGUUA
This 68-nucleotide transfer RNA is filed under the name Spirobranchus giganteus. RNAcentral's name for it is "tRNA-Leu". The record is from RNAcentral. Lineage: Eukaryota; Metazoa; Annelida; Polychaeta; Sabellida; Serpulidae.